RNAcentral lists this long non-coding RNA (657 nucleotides) under Daucus carota (carrot). RNAcentral describes it as "long non-coding RNA (DCAR_LNC006919)". The record is from RNAcentral. Lineage: Eukaryota; Viridiplantae; Streptophyta; Magnoliopsida; Apiales; Apiaceae.
ACCUAUACCCGGCCGUCGGGGCAAGUUCCAGGCCCCGAUGAGUACACUAUUAAACAAUGCAUGUCCACAUUUUGGCAGUGAGGAAAGAUCUUAUUGGGAAGUUGCAUUUUACCAAUAGAUAAAAACGGUAACAGAACUCACCUACAUAGGUGCAAGCACUUCAAAUAUCCACCGCUGAGGGUAUACUUAAUACUAGAUAAAUAAGGCAUCAAACCAUGGCAGGUUCAGUCAUAUUAUUCGGAUACCUUAGUACGGAUAUUAUAAUGCAGACUACAGCUAGAGGAUUUAUACUCAGGGGCAAAAGAAAAUAGCUGUUAUUACUCUUAAAGAUUAUGUUCAAAAGUUAAUAUAAGCACUCCUUAAAGGAAGCACUCAUACCACAUUUAAAAUCACAAACUUUUGAAUAUAAAGUUUGUCACACAUGGGUGCCUCCGAAAACAGGCUACGUAAAAAUCAAUGUUCUUUGUGUCAACUCCUAGCAACCAUAUUACAGAAAGGAAACCAAAACGGAGUUGGGGUGGCAGGGACGCAUUAAAAUGGAGGUUCCGGUUUCAAGCUCUCUAUUUACAUGAAAAGCAUGAUUUCCGCUACACUGACUCUUUUGACCAACAUUAAGAACUGGGGCAAGGCUGAUGAAGAUCUUUAGACUUAGGGUUC